Molecule: ribosomal RNA, 2921 nt
Filed under: Staphylococcus aureus
Lineage: Bacteria; Bacillati; Bacillota; Bacilli; Caryophanales; Staphylococcaceae
Description: 23S ribosomal RNA
Rfam family: Bacterial large subunit ribosomal RNA
Source: RNAcentral
UUAAGUUAUUAAGGGCGCACGGUGGAUGCCUUGGCACUAGAAGCCGAUGAAGGACGUUACUAACGACGAUAUGCUUUGGGGAGCUGUAAGUAAGCUUUGAUCCAGAGAUUUCCGAAUGGGGAAACCCAGCAUGAGUUAUGUCAUGUUAUCGAUAUGUGAAUACAUAGCAUAUCAGAAGGCACACCCGGAGAACUGAAACAUCUUAGUACCCGGAGGAAGAGAAAGAAAAUUCGAUUCCCUUAGUAGCGGCGAGCGAAACGGGAAGAGCCCAAACCAACAAGCUUGCUUGUUGGGGUUGUAGGACACUCUAUACGGAGUUACAAAGGACGACAUUAGACGAAUCAUCUGGAAAGAUGAAUCAAAGAAGGUAAUAAUCCUGUAGUCGAAAAUGUUGUCUCUCUUGAGUGGAUCCUGAGUACGACGGAGCACGUGAAAUUCCGUCGGAAUCUGGGAGGACCAUCUCCUAAGGCUAAAUACUCUCUAGUGACCGAUAGUGAACCAGUACCGUGAGGGAAAGGUGAAAAGCACCCCGGAAGGGGAGUGAAAUAGAACCUGAAACCGUGUGCUUACAAGUAGUCAGAGCCCGUUAAUGGGUGAUGGCGUGCCUUUUGUAGAAUGAACCGGCGAGUUACGAUUUGAUGCAAGGUUAAGCAGUAAAUGUGGAGCCGUAGCGAAAGCGAGUCUGAAUAGGGCGUUUAGUAUUUGGUCGUAGACCCGAAACCAGGUGAUCUACCCUUGGUCAGGUUGAAGUUCAGGUAACACUGAAUGGAGGACCGAACCGACUUACGUUGAAAAGUGAGCGGAUGAACUGAGGGUAGCGGAGAAAUUCCAAUCGAACCUGGAGAUAGCUGGUUCUCUCCGAAAUAGCUUUAGGGCUAGCCUCAAGUGAUGAUUAUUGGAGGUAGAGCACUGUUUGGACGAGGGGCCCCUCUCGGGUUACCGAAUUCAGACAAACUCCGAAUGCCAAUUAAUUUAACUUGGGAGUCAGAACAUGGGUGAUAAGGUCCGUGUUCGAAAGGGAAACAGCCCAGACCACCAGCUAAGGUCCCAAAAUAUAUGUUAAGUGGAAAAGGAUGUGGCGUUGCCCAGACAACUAGGAUGUUGGCUUAGAAGCAGCCAUCAUUUAAAGAGUGCGUAAUAGCUCACUAGUCGAGUGACACUGCGCCGAAAAUGUACCGGGGCUAAACAUAUUACCGAAGCUGUGGAUUGUCCUUUGGACAAUGGUAGGAGAGCGUUCUAAGGGCGUUGAAGCAUGAUCGUAAGGACAUGUGGAGCGCUUAGAAGUGAGAAUGCCGGUGUGAGUAGCGAAAGACGGGUGAGAAUCCCGUCCACCGAUUGACUAAGGUUUCCAGAGGAAGGCUCGUCCGCUCUGGGUUAGUCGGGUCCUAAGCUGAGGCCGACAGGCGUAGGCGAUGGAUAACAGGUUGAUAUUCCUGUACCACCUAUAAUCGUUUUAAUCGAUGGGGGGACGCAGUAGGAUAGGCGAAGCGUGCGAUUGGAUUGCACGUCUAAGCAGUAAGGCUGAGUAUUAGGCAAAUCCGGUACUCGUUAAGGCUGAGCUGUGAUGGGGAGAAGACAUUGUGUCUUCGAGUCGUUGAUUUCACACUGCCGAGAAAAGCCUCUAGAUAGAAAAUAGGUGCCCGUACCGCAAACCGACACAGGUAGUCAAGAUGAGAAUUCUAAGGUGAGCGAGCGAACUCUCGUUAAGGAACUCGGCAAAAUGACCCCGUAACUUCGGGAGAAGGGGUGCUCUUUAGGGUUAACGCCCAGAAGAGCCGCAGUGAAUAGGCCCAAGCGACUGUUUAUCAAAAACACAGGUCUCUGCUAAACCGUAAGGUGAUGUAUAGGGGCUGACGCCUGCCCGGUGCUGGAAGGUUAAGAGGAGUGGUUAGCUUCUGCGAAGCUACGAAUCGAAGCCCCAGUAAACGGCGGCCGUAACUAUAACGGUCCUAAGGUAGCGAAAUUCCUUGUCGGGUAAGUUCCGACCCGCACGAAAGGCGUAACGAUUUGGGCACUGUCUCAACGAGAGACUCGGUGAAAUCAUAGUACCUGUGAAGAUGCAGGUUACCCGCGACAGGACGGAAAGACCCCGUGGAGCUUUACUGUAGCCUGAUAUUGAAAUUCGGCACAGCUUGUACAGGAUAGGUAGGAGCCUUUGAAACGUGAGCGCUAGCUUACGUGGAGGCGCUGGUGGGAUACUACCCUAGCUGUGUUGGCUUUCUAACCCGCACCACUUAUCGUGGUGGGAGACAGUGUCAGGCGGGCAGUUUGACUGGGGCGGUCGCCUCCUAAAAGGUAACGGAGGCGCUCAAAGGUUCCCUCAGAAUGGUUGGAAAUCAUUCAUAGAGUGUAAAGGCAUAAGGGAUCUUGACUGCGAGACCUACAAGUCGAGCAGGGUCGAAAGACGGACUUAGUGAUCCGGUGGUUCCGCAUGGAAGGGCCAUCGCUCAACGGAUAAAAGCUACCCCGGGGAUAACAGGCUUAUCUCCCCCAAGAGUUCACAUCGACGGGGAGGUUUGGCACCUCGAUGUCGGCUCAUCGCAUCCUGGGGCUGUAGUCGGUCCCAAGGGUUGGGCUGUUCGCCCAUUAAAGCGGUACGCGAGCUGGGUUCAGAACGUCGUGAGACAGUUCGGUCCCUAUCCGUCGUGGGCGUAGGAAAUUUGAGAGGAGCUGUCCUUAGUACGAGAGGACCGGGAUGGACAUACCUCUGGUGUACCAGUUGUCGUGCCAACGGCAUAGCUGGGUAGCUAUGUAUGGACGGGAUAAGUGCUGAAAGCAUCUAAGCAUGAAGCCCCCCUCAAGAUGAGAUUUCCCAACUUCGGUUAUAAGAUCCCUCAAAGAUGAUGAGGUUAAUAGGUUCGAGGUGGAAGCAUGGUGACAUGUGGAGCUGACGAAUACUAAUCGAUCGAAGACUUAAUCAA